This is a long non-coding RNA of Felis catus (domestic cat), 4685 nucleotides long. RefSeq lists it as uncharacterized. NCBI's taxonomy places the organism in Eukaryota, Metazoa, Chordata, Mammalia, Carnivora, Felidae. The transcript has 2 exons. The record is from RefSeq and is a predicted model, not a curated record.
UCUCUCUCUCUCUGCCCCUUCCCCACUCACACUCUGUCUGUCUCUCAAAAAUAAACAUUAAAAAAAAAAGAAGUUGUAGAGAUUAAAUUUUUGGUAUUAUUACAUUUAUAAGAAACUGAAAUUGAGAUAUGUACUGGUGAAGAAACUAGACUAAGAGCCUAUAUGUAUUGCUAGGGGCACUUGCUGCAAGGCCAAAACACUUUUCUGUCUUCCAGUAUUUGACCUUGGACUGUUUCAUCUUAGUGAUCCAAACCAGGAUGAUUCUAUGGAUUGGUACACAUAAAGCUAAAAGCUUUUGACUUGUUUCCUUUCUUCCUCCAUGAAGUAGUAAUAGAAAUUACCUUUUCUUGAAAAAAAUAAAAAUAAAAAAUACUUUAAUGCCCGAUUUUAGUUUUGAAAAUCCAGAAUCAGAAAUAUAAAAGGCAUGUUUCUUCUGAAAUUAUUCUCCAACUGGUAAUAAGCAAUUUUUUUUAUUCCACAUAUAAGUGAAAUCAUAUGGUAUUGGUUAUUUCUUUCUUUAACUUAUUUCACUUCGCAUAGGGUCCUCAAGGUAAUGGACCCCCCUCUUGAUAAAGUGUUAAAGAAUUUGUGGCCAUCUUCAAUUGCAACAGAUCCUUAAAAAGUUAGAAAUUCUCUGUGAAUGGCUAGGGGCCAUACUUCCACACCCCAAUACCACCGGUCUGGUCUCCCUGUAUAAUGAACAUCAUCAGGCAACAGCUUUGGAGUUUUCCUUGGGAUCCAGACCCAAGUAACUAGGUAAGUCUGCACCAAACAAAAUCCACUGUGUCCACUGCCCACCAUGAGCACUGUCAUCGGCAUUGAAUUAAAGUGUAUAAGGGAUUUCUUAAAUCCUGAUUAUGAAUACUCAGAGUAGGGUUCUUUCCAGGUCACACUGGGCUAGCUAGUUUAUUCUCUAUUCUUAGCUAGUUUCUCCACUGAAAAGAUAGAACCAGUCUAUACCACUCAGAUCUUGAUGGAAAACACAUAUUUUUUUGAGAAAACAUAUUUUAAGUGCUCUGUUACAACUGGAUAAAAAGGACUUUGUUAAUGUAAAUUCUGAUCUCUCAUAGCUGAACAGCUCUAAUUCAUGCAUGCAUUUUCCUGGUGCCUCCAGAGUUAUCCAAGGGUAACCAGAUUUUUUUUCCCCCCUGGGCAAAGCCCAGGGUUGAGGUUCUGGGGUAUAGUUAGAACAAGAUUUUAUUAGGUCCUCCUUAGCUCCUCCAGGCAAGGAGGACUUCUAUGUUAAAUCAUUAGUUUAUAGUUCUGGGGAAUUUUAGCUAAAAUUUUAAAAGUACAAUUUAAUGGUUUAAUAUUAUACUUCAUUAUAAAAUCUAACAUGUAUUAAAAAAACUAAGCAGUUCAAAAUUUAAAAUAAUAAAAUGGAAUAUAAAACAGUGCUAGCUGGCAAAUUAUUGGGACUUGGCAUAGUAUUUGGCACUUUUGAAACAACCCAAAGCAAUCUCUGCAUUACUGAUUAUCUAUGUUAAUAUAAUGAAAAAGUAGGUCUCCAUUUAUCCUCAUAAAUCGGUCUCUCUCAGUCAUGCAUGUAGCACCUAAGUCAACUGUGAAGCUUUUAACAAAUAGCAAAUGCCUGGACUUUACACCCAGAGAUUUUGAUCUGGCAGGUUACACCAUUUAAAACUCCAAGUGAUUUCGAUACACAGAAAACUUAGAAAACCACUAGCUAGAAACAAGAGGACAAAAGUCACUCUGAAGCAAUUUCUCAAACUCAGCACUUUCAACAUCUGGGGCCAGAUAAAUCUUUGUCACAGGGGCUUGUCCUGUGCGCAGGGUAUUUAGCAGCAGCUCUUGCCUCCAUCCUUUGGAUGCCAGCAACAAGUUCCCUGGAGACAAAGUCAAAACUAGUUACAAACCACUGCUCUGAGGACUGACAUGAAAAUAAAUAAGGUUAUACUCUUCAACUGACACAUAGGGAUUUGGGGAGAGCAGUCUUUCCAGAUAAUGGGAAGUAGUUCCAGCUCUAAAAUUCCCAUCCCAGUCAUGACAUAAUCUUUCUUAAUCCUUCCUUCAAGUACCUCAUUUUCUAUCUACCCUUUAUUACUAAUACCUCCUGCUCUGAAUGCCUGAAGUCAUUCUUCAUCUAUUACAGUGUAGUAAGAAUUCUCCUCCAUUACAUCCCAUCUGCUUUCUUGCAUAUACUUUCACCUCCAAUCUCAAGACUGUUCAUUAAACUUUUAUUGGGUUUAUAUUCAAAAGGGUCCCAUCCUGAGGCCAAGUGAUGGCAUAUGGAGAGUGGUGACAAACCAUUUACCCUCAGCAACUGCUCUGCAUCUGAACUAGGUCUCUUUUUUCCGGCUACCACAGCCUUGAAGAUCAGUACUUUGAAAGAAUGACCUUUUACUGAAUGAAAUAUGCCCCGUCUGAAGGCAACAAGUCCAGGAAGCAGGAAAACAUAACUCCUGUAAAUAAUGCACUGUGACACUUCUGCCUUUUGAUGAGGCUUUAGAAGGACUUUACUGGCUAUCUAAUAAACCUCUGUAACUAUUUUAACAGGUAUCUAUCACACAGAUCCUGUCAAAAGCCUAUAUAGGGGACAAUUGUUUUCCAUGAUUAAUGUUCUCCUCUACAUGUUAACAAUAUCUCAAGAUUCUCCAGACUCUAAUCCCACUGUCCAGUCAGUUCACACAGGACUAUACAUCCUCUGUCCUUAUCUACUACAAAAUUACCUUGAUAGAAUUAACACAUGCCUUCGGCCUUUUUUUUUUUUUUUUUUUUACUAGAGCAGUAUAAUAGCAAUACAGGUGUAGAAUAUCCUUGUAUUUUUUCUAAAUUGUCAUUGAUGAAAUUAUCCAGUACAUUGCUUAAUGUCCUUUAAAUAAAGACCCAGGUGACAAAUUCUCCUGAAAAUUAGGAAGAAAUAACCUCUCUCCUGACCAAGUGGCAUACUUCCUAUUACAGAGCAAUGAAUAUUAAAGAGCUCUCCCAUUUUCCUUUUUUGCAUGAUUACUAGGAGUACAGACCUAAAUUCCUUGCUCCAUUCCAGUAAAUUUCCUCAGUUAAGAACUUCAGGCAAAGCUAUUCUCUUCUCCCCCAUUUUUGGGUCUCCUUUUUAAUCUUUUUACUUUUGUUAAUGAUUUUCAGGUGAAUUUUUAUUACAGACUGCUCAAGAUCCACACUAGAGAUAAGGAGGCUAUGUACAUUUACAAAUGCAAAUGUUAAAAAAAUAUGUGAAUUUGUUCAAUAUGCAUGUUUUCCUCGCUUGAAUUUUGAUGUCUUGGAGAAUACAUUUAAAAAAUCACCUGAAAUCCAUUAAUCUAGGCCUUAUUCUUUAUACUGUUUUCUAACUUAUUUAAAAAUGAUGGAUGGCUAUAUAAUGGAUGGAUUAAUAUUAUUGGGGACAAAAAUCAAUAUGAGGAAAAGAGAAAAAUCACAUCUCUAUAUUCAAGUGGGUGGGUUUACAGAAUCACACGCAGUAAUUCCUGCAACAGGACUCAAGUGUCUUGUGCUCCUACCCCAUUCUAAUUGUGAGGAAAAUUAAAUUUCAUCCCACUGCUAUUUACUGGGGUUUUGCUUUGAAAAGUGCACUAAAUAAUUCAGCUCCCAAACGGACUCAGAUUUUAAACCCAUUUUGGUCUUGGUAGGCUGUGGUGUAAUCAUUAUCCCAAGAGCGUCAGCCUCCUUCGAAGUGUUAGACCCAGCCCCAUUUUGUCCUUGAUUUCCCGAUGCUUGCUCUUUUCUUGGUGUAUUCCCUGAGUUCACAACUCCUACCAAGGUUUCACUUCUCUUCGUCCCAUCUAAGACAGAUGUUCCAGAACCAGAACUCGGUUUGUCCAUCCGUCCCCUAACUCUGCCUCCCCUACAGCCACGUUUUACUGUAACAGAACCCUGCUUUACUUUCUCGUAGUACAUCAGUCUUCCGGCCUCGAAGCAUCAGGGCCCCCUCCUUCCUUCAGCUCUCCGGGUCCCGUCCCUGAUCGGUCUGGUCUCCCCACGUGGGGCCGCCCGCUGCCACGGCCGCCAUCUUCCCUCCCUCACCGACAUCAACCCCGAGCUGUCGGAAGCCACUCUCAAUAGAUCGCAGAACGAGCGAGCCACCUCGUAACCGAAAACACGCGGCGACCGCAAGUCCAGGGAGGCCUUCCUUCUCCAGCCAUGCCCCCACCUCCUGUGACGGACGCAAGACAUUACUAAUCGAUGGCCGCACUCCCGCCGGCGACGAUCGUUGCCACUGGCAACGGCAAGCCCAGGCUGGAGGUCUGAAUCCUGUACCCCCUCCCCAAGAGCUGUUUUCUUCUUCUGUGAGCCUUGGAGCUGCACGCGCAAUAGGGUGUAUCUCUUGGAUGUGUUCGACGUCUUGGCAUGUAUUUUCUUUGACGCUCAGUGAUCAAAUCUAUAAUAAUAAGCUUCAAGCCUCAAGCAUUAAUAACUGAGGAGAAACAGAACUGUGAUUUCUGUAGGCGCUAACACCUACAGCUUCUCAAAGUGUGGUUCUCCUGGUACCCCCUGGUAGUUCCUGAGACCCUUUCAGUAAUUGGCCAGGUCGGAGCCAUUUUCAUGGCAAUGCUAAUAUAUAUUUGCCUCUUUCACUGUGCUGACAUUUGCACCAAUGGUGCAAAAACCAUGGCGGUAAAAGUGCAGGUGUCUUAGGAAGAAUCAAGGCGGCGGUACCACACUGUAAAAGCCAGUGUCACUUAAGAGUGUUCUCAAUAAAGCAGUAAAAACUA